AAGGACAGAAAAGUGAAGGCAAAAU
This 25-nucleotide non-coding RNA is filed under the name Cricetulus griseus (Chinese hamster). Lineage: Eukaryota; Metazoa; Chordata; Mammalia; Rodentia; Cricetidae. The record is from RNAcentral.